Molecule: small nucleolar RNA, 131 nt
Organism: Dipodomys ordii (Ord's kangaroo rat)
Lineage: Eukaryota; Metazoa; Chordata; Mammalia; Rodentia; Heteromyidae
Source: Ensembl
GGCCUUCGAGUGCUUACCACAGGCUGUGUUAUUACACUGACUGUAUAGAAAGAGGAGGCAGAGUAAACCUACCCCAUAUACACCUCAGCCCAGGCCUGUGCCUAGUUUGUAUUGUGAAUGGGGAGACAGGG